GGGGCGUUAGUAUAAUUGGUAAUACACUUCACUUUUAAUGAAGGUUAUGUGGGUUCAAGUCCCAUGCGUCCCA
Molecule: transfer RNA, 73 nt
Filed under: Caudoviricetes sp.
Lineage: Duplodnaviria; Heunggongvirae; Uroviricota; Caudoviricetes
Description: tRNA-Lys
Rfam family: tRNA
About the family: Transfer RNA (tRNA) molecules are approximately 80 nucleotides in length.
Source: RNAcentral